This 3946-nucleotide long non-coding RNA is filed under the name Homo sapiens (human). Lineage: Eukaryota; Metazoa; Chordata; Mammalia; Primates; Hominidae. The record is from RNAcentral.
AGAGAGACAGCCCCACGCCCGGCAAGACGCAACUCCGGGCCACGGAGGGCGCCGCCCGGACAGCCCGGCCGGGUCAGGGGGCUUCGCCGCCGAGCACCCUCCGGCAGCCGCCCUCGGGCCUCCGCGGCCGGGCGGGAGGGCGCCUCCCCGACCACACUUCGGCCGCUUGGCACCCACAGCCGGGAGGGCGUGAGGAAGGACUCGGUCUAACUCCGGGGAACCCUCGGAGUUCCGGCGCAGACACCCGAGGGGGUGUCCUGGGAACUCCUUCGCCCGCGACACCCGUUCUUCUCCGUCUCCCGACCACCAGCGACGCAGCAGGGCGGCUGCCGGCCCGGCCCGGCCCGCCUUGCGGGCUGUGCGCGGCGCAGCUCUUCCUCCGCGGGGCCGUGAAGGCCACCGGCCGCCCCCGCGCGCCCAGCUGCCCGGCCCCGCCGCCUAAGCCGCCGCGUUGCUGGCGGGUAGCCGCGGGCCUCCGGUGCGCGGGCCCCGGCGCGUCCCCGAGCGCGCGCCUGGCCGCGGCCCCGCGCGAGUUGCACUAACUUUCCGGGGCGGGGGAGGGGUGGGCGCCGCGGGCCCGGCUCCCAGGCCUUACCUGUGCUCAAGUUGUCGUUGAUUUUCAAAGGCACCCGCAGGAUGUAGACCAGGAAUAGCACGAUGAAGAACCACACGGUCCACAGAUACGUCCAAGACCAAACUAUGCAGGACUUGAGCUGCUCCAGAAAGCCCGUGGCCGCUUCAGCCAUGUUUCAGCGCUCCUCUCUGCUGCCGCGGCUCUUGGUGUCUGCCGGGAUGAUUCACCGGCCCGGAGGCGCAGCUCGCGCCGCCGCCGCCGCCGCGGCCCGGGCGCCCCCGGAGCCCGCCCGCCGCCGGGGACGCGGGCUCGGCGGGAAAUCGCGCGGGCCGCGGGCGCGCCGGCUUUUCCUUCUCCAGCCUUAUUGCUAACUCUCUAAAGGUCCCUACAAGUGGCUUUCGUGGAGCGAUCACGUGGCCCCUGCCCCCUCGCGUUCUGGGUCCAUUUAUAUUUAUUAUGCUAAUAUUUAGAAAGAGAAGGCCAAGUGGCGCGCCGAAGGAAACGCCUCAGGCAGUUACAACCCGCAUAAGUUGAGCGUUUACCACACGCCAGGCGCUGCUCCACGAUCCGUACAAUCUCAUUUAACCCCUGCAACAAUUCCCCACUACGAUCCUCUUUCUAUAGGUAGGGAAACUGAGGCUCACAGCAGCUGCGUAGUUUACCUUAAGGUGGAACCAAAAUUCAAUUGCAGUGGUGUAUUCUGGGGUCCGAGGUCUUAAACCCUACUCUGCUCCCUUAUCAGGAUUCAGGCUCAGGGAAUGAAUAAACCCGGGACAGCUAGGAGAAGGGAGGAGGUGCGCUCCUGUCGCCGGCUAGUAGGCCUGAAGAUAAAUCACUCUAUUCAGCAAGAUUUGGGUGGCAGAUGCUAUUUACCUUUGUUCUGUCUCUUUGAAGCAGCGCAGGGAUUUUCCAGAGAAAUCUUGACAGAUGAAUGUUUAUCCUCCAGGUUUUUUGGUGAUCAGAGGUCAAACUAUUCUCAGCCUGUUUUUAAUAUAAACAAUUCUCUGGGAUAAUUUUGACUGUGAAACGGCCACCUCUAACAGAAAGUCCAUUUUAAACAUUGUUUUGUUGUUUUUGUUUUGUUUUGACUGUGCUGAAUAAAAUGUUUCUUUUAUUCUAAAAUGUUUUCUCAGCUGAAAUUUUCAAGUCUGUUUCUGUCCGUAAGUGAUUUGACUUUCUAUGUAUUAGAUGGUAAUGAGGAAAUUGCAGGUUUUCCAGUCUACAUCUAUUUUUAAAAUUCUGAGCAUAAAGAAUAUUUUAUUAUAAAUUGUUUUGCUUACUUGUAUAAUAGUUUCCUUCAUAAUUAAAUAAGCUCCUUUAACUUUUCACAUAUAGGGCCUAUUACGGCAUACAUAAUGGAUGGAACUACUCUUAAAUUUUUACUAAUUCCAGCCUCUCUCGGCUACUGUUUCUUCCUCACAUUUGAUCUACUACAGUGAGAUCCAGGCCAGAAUAAGUGAAAUUGGCACACAUAGACUUUCUUUAUAGUUAUUUAUGGCAGCACAUGACCAAAUGAUUUUUGUGUCUAACACUGAUACAUGGAAUCUCAGUAAAAUAAAACAAUAUUGUCACCAGUAAAGGAUCGUGACUGCAGGUUGUCCAGGUUCUUGGCGUUUUGAACAAAGAAUUGGACAAAACACCCAGAGAAGCGACAAAAGAACGAAAGCAGGGAUUUAUUGAAAACGAAAGUACACUCUACAUUGUGGGAGCGGGCGGAGCAGCGGCUCAAAGGCCGAAUACAGAAUCUUCUUGGGUCCAAAUACCCCCAAGAAGUUUCCCUUUGGCAACUCAUGCUCAUCUCACGUAAAUGAAGUGGUAGCCCGCAAUCAGUCUGACUGGUUGCAGAAAGCAGCCAACCAGAGGCUGAAAUGAAGAUACAAAGGUAACACUCCUGUGCAAACAUCUGAUUGGUUGCAAAAAACAACCAAUCAGAGGCUGGGAUGUACUUAAUGAAGUUAUGCUUCUAUGCAAACGAAGACUCGCCCACAGUCUGAUUAGUUGUGGACAACAACCAUUCAGAGGCUGGAGUGAAGUUACAAAGUUGCAAAUGAAGAUUGGACCCGCAGUCAGUCUGAUUGGUUACAGACAGCCAAUUUCCCAUCUACUAGGCAGAAAAGGUCAAAGGUAGCCUCUGGUCCUUUUGUUACUUAGGCGUGGAAAGUUAGGGUUUUCCUUUCAAUGUAGUUCAAGGAAGUCCUUAGUUUCCCUGCCUCCAGAACCUAGUCUCCUGCCUCAACAUGAGUACAUGAACCACCUAUUUUAUGUGAUGAUUAAAUAACCCACCAGAUUCUCUGCGAGUCACUGAAUUAGGAUAUUGACUACUUAAUUUAAAUGAACAUCCGGAGGCCUGGCUUUUUGCUGUCAAUGAACUUCAAUGAAUGGACAUGAAUAUGACUCCGCUAAGUCACAAUCUUCUAAUUUUCUACUAGGCGCUCCUGGGAAGUCAGCCCUAUAUCAUUGCCUCUCCUGGUGUGCAUCCUGGCAUGUGGUGGGGACUGUACACAUGCCUUUGUGCUUCAAAACACUUCAAAACAGAAAUCCCCUCCUGGGCCUAGCACAGGUACUGUGUGCUGGGCUAAACUGAAAUGAAUAUGAAGUCUAUGGCCAUACCACCCUGAACACACCCGACCUUAUCUGAUCUUGGAAGCUCGACAGGGUCAGGCCUGAUUAAUACUUGGAUGGGAAAUGAAUGUACUUGAGUUGGAGGGAAGAAGGGGUAUGGUUGUUGUUUGAUUUUUUUUUUUUUUGGACCUCUCAGCAAGUUGAUUUUCUAGACUUACCAAAUAAAAGUCCUAUGUGAUUUUCAUUAAAAAAAGGACCAAUGCGUAAAUGAGAGGGGAAAAUAGUUCAUUCUGAGGCAGAAGCAUCCAGUAGAACCACUAUCUAGUUUCCCAUCACUGAGAAUAUUCUAACAGAGGUUUGGCUGACCACCCAACCUCAUCUGUAAAUUGGGAACAAUAAUAGCAUAUGUGAUCAUGUCAAAAGGUAUUCUUGCGGAAGGUAGGAGGCAUGACCAACUCAUCCUGGUUUGCUGGGACUUUCCCAGUUUUAAUACUGUAAGUCCCAUGUUUUCAGAAUCCCUUCAGUCACAGUGGGGCUAGAUGACUUCUGAGUUUUCUUCCAACUCUUAAGACUCUCAGUUGCAGGGUCUGCCUCCAGCAAAACUGGGAGGUAGGAGGAAGUUUAUUUUCUGUACCUUUUACUGGACUUUCUCACUUCUUUAGCUGCCGCAGGCCUUUACUUCCUUCCCUUAUCUACUCUCAAAAUCUGCUUUUACAACUAUCAGUUUGUUUGUGCAUAAAUAAUUUGUUAUUCUUCCAAGUGCUAUUAACAGAUACCAGAUAACAAAGCCAUAAAAUAAAAUAAUCUUCA